Molecule: ribosomal RNA, 465 nt
Filed under: uncultured bacterium
Lineage: Bacteria
Description: partial 16S ribosomal RNA
Rfam family: Bacterial small subunit ribosomal RNA
Source: RNAcentral
CUACGGGAGGCAGCAGUAAGGAAUAUUGCACAAUGGGGGAAACCCUGAUGCAGCAACGCCGCGUGAGUGAAGAAGGCCCUUGGGUCGUAAAGCUCUGUCAAUGGGGAAGAAGUUACUUGGUAUUAAUAGUGCCUUGUAUUGACGGUACCCAUGAAGGAAGCACCGGCUAACUCCGUGCCAGCAGCCGCGGUAAUACGGGGGGUGCAAGCGUUAUUCGGAAUUAUUGGGCGUAAAGGGCACGCAGGCGGUCCUGUCAGUCAGAUGUGAAAGCCCGGGGCUCAACCCCGGACGUGCAUUUGAAACAGCAGGACUUGAGUACGGGAGAGGAAAGGGGAAUUCCUGGUGUAGAGGUGAAAUUCGUAGAUAUCAGGAGGAACACCGGUGGCGAAGGCGCCUUUCUGGACCGAUACUGACGCUGAGGUGCGAAGGCGUGGGUAGCGAACGGGAUUAGAUACCCGAGUAGUC